UGCGACGCAUCGGCCUUUCUUC
This 22-nucleotide microRNA is filed under the name Gallus gallus (chicken). RNAcentral's name for it is "gga-miR-1634". The record is from miRBase by way of RNAcentral. Lineage: Eukaryota; Metazoa; Chordata; Aves; Galliformes; Phasianidae.